AGGAGGGAGGCCCAGCGCACGCCUGCCCUUCUCCUGUUGUCAGCAGGAGGGCCAUCAGAAGGAAGCUCUGUUCUCAGAAGAAAGAGCAUGAAGCCCAGUGCCAGGCGGAAACGGGCACAGAAGCAACUGGCCCAUCAGAGACAGUUAAAGGAAAAACAAAAAAAUGGGAUGGAAGAUGUUUGAGGGGAAGGGAGAGGCUGUACCCUAGACUGAAGGAAUCGAGGAUGGGAGACAGAAAUCUGCAUGCAUUUUUUACAAGCUUCCUAGGUCUUUCUUGCGCCCAGAACAACUGUGACCUCUCAGGUAAGACCUCUUCCAGGAGGAGGCAUCUUAGCUGGCCUCGAGGGAUGGUUAGGAUUUCAAUUAAAAGAGUGAAAUAAACCUUGGACGGACAGACAGCUGGGCAAAGGAGCUGAUGGAUAAAGCCCAUACUCUAAGAGGAGAAUAAAGCAGAGAAAGGCCUGAGGGAGGGGAAGCCCAGUCCAGUA
RNAcentral lists this long non-coding RNA (488 nucleotides) under Equus asinus (donkey). RNAcentral's name for it is "lncRNA (ENSEASG00005030300.1)". The record is from RNAcentral. Lineage: Eukaryota; Metazoa; Chordata; Mammalia; Perissodactyla; Equidae.